AGUGAACGCUGGCGGUAGGCCUAACACAUGCAAGUCGAACGGCAGCACAGUAAGAGCUUGCUCUUACGGGUGGCGAGUGGCGGACGGGUGAGGAAUACAUCGGAAUCUACUUUUUCGUGGGGGAUAACGUAGGGAAACUUACGCUAAUACCGCAUACGACCUACGGGUGAAAGCAGGGGAUCUUCGGACCUUGCGCGACUGAAUGAGCCGAUGUCGGAUUAGCUAGUUGGCGGGGUAAAGGCCCACCAAGGCGACGAUCCGUAGCUGGUCUGAGAGGAGGAUCAGCCACACUGGAACUGAGACACGGUCCAGACUCCUACGGGAGGCAGAAGUGGGGAAUAUUGGACAAUGGGCGCAAGCCUGAUCCAGCCAUACCGCGUGGGUGAAGAAGGCCUUCGGGUUGUAAAGCCCUUUUGUUGGGAAAGAAAAGCAGCAGGUUAAUACCACGCUGUUCUGACGGUACCCAAAGAAUAAGCACCGGCUAACUUCGUG
RNAcentral lists this ribosomal RNA (492 nucleotides) under uncultured bacterium. Its description in RNAcentral is "partial 16S ribosomal RNA". It matches the Rfam family "Bacterial small subunit ribosomal RNA", at positions 29 to 507 of the family's 1533-position model. The record is from RNAcentral.